AUGGAUGUUGCAGCCAGUGGCCAUGACGAGGCUUAUGCCUUCAUGGAGGUGCAGUACCGGAUGCUGAGAGAAAAUGUUACCCACUCGGCUACAAGGAUAACUGGGAGGAGGAAGAACCGAGCCACAUGGGUAACUCGAAGGGAAAAAAAAUCAGUGGCGCCACCGUCCAUUCUCAUGCCUCCCCUUCUACAGAUACACAACCACUGCCCUUGCUGCUUCUCAACUCCACCUUUGUCCUUGGUACCAUCAGCAUUGACGCAGUCGUCCAUCUGCAUGCCGCAUCAGCGAAGAAGUAGGCACAUCAACUAUGUGCUGAUGCCGAGUUUGCAUCUAGGCAUCAUGUAUGUUGCUUUGUUUCUCCUGUACUACUGCUGGCACAAAUAUUUCUGUUGA
This 393-nucleotide ribosomal RNA is filed under the name Triticum aestivum (bread wheat). Its description in RNAcentral is "partial small subunit ribosomal RNA". Lineage: Eukaryota; Viridiplantae; Streptophyta; Magnoliopsida; Poales; Poaceae. The record is from RNAcentral.